RNAcentral lists this ribosomal RNA (2975 nucleotides) under marine eukaryotic metagenome. RNAcentral's name for it is "Bacterial large subunit ribosomal RNA". It matches the Rfam family "Bacterial large subunit ribosomal RNA". The record is from RNAcentral.
AAGUUACUAAGGGCGCAUGGCGGAUGCCUUGGCUCUCAGAGGCGAUGAAGGACGUGACAAGCUGCGAUAAGCUUCGGGGAGGUGCAAAUAACCUCUGAUCCGGAGAUUUCCGAAUGGGGCAACCCGGCUGGUUGAAGGCCAGUCAUCCCGAUCUUGUAUCGGGAAGCGAACGCGGGGAACUGAAACAUCUAAGUACCCGUAGGAGAAGAAAACAAUAGUGAUUCCGCAAGUAGUGGCGAGCGAACGCGGAAAAGCCCAAACCAACAGGGUUACGGCCUUGUUGGGGUUGUAGGACCUGCCACAGGGACUUCAAAUUGAUAACAGAACACUUCUGGAAAGUUGGACCGUAGAAGGUGAAAGUCCUGUACGUGAAAUUGAUUUGAUACCUGGCGGGUAUCCUGAGUAGGGCGGGACCGGUGAAAUCCUGUCUGAAUCUACCGGCACCAUCCGGUAAGGCUAAAUACUCCUGAGAGACCGAUAGUGGACAAGUACCGUGAGGGAAAGGUGAAAAGCACUCCGAACAGGAGGGUGAAACAGAACCUGAAACCAUGCGCUUACAAGCGGUCGGAGCCCCGAUACCUCGGGGUGACGGCGUGCCUUUUGCAUAAUGAGCCUACGAGUUACUCCUCAUUGGCAAGGUUAAGUAUCGUCAAGGUACGUAGCCGGAGCGAAAGCGAGUCUGAACAGGGCGACCAUAAGUCAGUGGGGGUAGACGCGAAACUUGGUGAUCUACCCAUGGCCAGGUUGAAGUUGCGGUAACACGCAAUGGAGGACCGAACCAGUUGACGUUGAAAAGUCAUUGGAUGAGCUGUGGGUAGGGGUGAAAGGCCAAUCAAACCAAGAGAUAGCUCGUACUCCCCGAAAUGCUUUUAGGAGCAGCGUUGUUUAAUAGUGUCAUAGAGGUAGAGCUACUGAUUGGGCUAGGGGGCUUCACCGCCUACCAAACCCUGACAAACUCCGAAUGCUAUGACAUGUUUUUCAGCAGUGAGGGCGCGGGUGCUAAGGUCCGUGUCCGAAAGGGAAAGAACCCAGACUACCAGCUAAGGUCCCCAAAUAUAUGCUAAGUUGAACUAACGAGGUCCGGUUGCACAGACAGCUAGGAUGUUGGCUUGGAAGCAGCCAUUCAUUUAAAGAGUGCGUAACAGCUCACUAGUCGAGCGAUCGGGCAUGGAUGAUAAUCGGGCAUAAAGCAUAUUACCGAAGCUGUAGUCCCGACUUUACGUCGGGAGGUAGGGGAGCAUUCCUGUUUGCAUCGAAGGUGGGCCGUAAGGUUUGCUGGAGUGGCAGGAAAAGCAAAUGUAGGCAUAAGUAACGAUAAUGCGGGUGGGAAACCCGCACACCGAAAGACUAAGGUUUCCUGAUCAACGCUAAUCGGAUCAGGGUUAGUCGGGUCCUAAGGCGAACCCGAAGGGGGCAGUCGAUGGACAACUGGUUAAUAUUCCAGUACCAGCUUAUACUGCGAUGGGAUGACGGAGAAGUGAAAGGCCCGCGUGCUGACGGAAUAGCACGUUGAACACUGUAGGUAUAGGAUGUGCAGGCAAAUCCGCACACCCUGCUGAAGGUGGAUAGUACCACAAGGCUCCGGCUGAGUGGAUAGUGGCCCUAAUCAGGCUUCCAAGAAAAACCCCUAAGCGUCAGGUAUAAGCUGCCCGUACCGUAAACCGACACAGGUAGUCGAGGAGAGAAUCCAAAGGUGCUCGAGUGAUCCAUAGCUAAGGAACUAGGCAAAAUGACCCCGUAACUUCGGGAGAAGGGGUGCCAUCCCCCUUUAAUCUUCCCCUCGGGGGGGACAAAGGGGGGGUGGCCGCAGUGAAAUGACCCAGGCGACUGUUUAUCAAAAACACAUGGCUUUGCUAAAUUUAAAGAUGAUGUAUAAGGCCUGACACCUGCCCGGUGCCGGAAGGUUAAGAGGAGGGCUCAUCCAGGAGGCGCAAGCCACCUGGAGAAGGUCUGAAUUGAAGCCCCGGUAAACGGCGGCCGUAACUAUAACGGUCCUAAGGUAGCGAAAUUCCUUGUCGGGUAAGUUCCGACCUGCACGAAUGGUGUAACGAUCUGGGCGCUGUCUCGACGCGAGACUCGGUGAAAUUGAAGUAUCGGUGAAGAUGCCGAUUACCCAUGGUUAGACGGAAAGACCCCGUGAACCUUUACUGCAGCUUGGCAUUGGAACCUGGGCUAUGAUGUGUAGGAUAGGUGGGAAGCUAUGAAGCGUGGUCGUUAGGCUGCGUGGAGCUGAACAGUGAAAUACCACCCUUUAUAGUUUAGGUUUCUAACGCUGGCCUUAUAUCAGGUUAGUGGACAAUGUCAGGUGGGCGGUUUGACUGGGGCGGUCACCUCCUAAAGAGUAACGGAGGUGUGCGAAGGUCUCCUCGCGCUGGUUGGAAAUCAGCGUUACGAGUGCAAAGGCAAAAGGGGGCCUGACUGCGAGACUGACAAGUCGAGCAGGUGCGAAAGCAGGUCUUAGUGAUCUGGCGGUGGCGAGUGGAAGCGCCGUCACUUAACGGACAAAAGGUACUCCGGGGAUAACAGGCUUAUCUUGCCCAAGAGUUCACAUCGACGGCAAGGUUUGGCACCUCGAUGUCGGCUCAUCGCAUCCUGGGGCUGAAGCAGGUCCCAAGGGUUUGGCUGUUCGCCAAUUAAAGCGGUACGUGAGCUGGGUUCAGAACGUCGCGAGACAGUUCGGUCCCUAUCUGCCACAGGCGCUGGAUGUUUGAGAGGAGCUGUUCUUAGUACGAGAGGACCGGAAUGGACGAACCUCUGGUGUACCAGUUAUCCUGCCAAGGGUAAGUGCUGGGUAGCCAUGUUCGGAAGGGAUAACCGCUGAAAGCAUCUAAGUGGGAAGCCCCCCUCGAGAUGAGACAUCCCAUCUGCUUUAAGCAGACUGAAGGAACCAGAGAGAAUAUCUGGUUGAUAGGCUGGCGGUCUACGCAUGGUAACAUGUUCAGCCGACCAGUACUAAGUAUCCGUGAGGCUUGACC